UACGGGGGGGGCAAGCGUUGUUCGGAAUUACUGGGCGUAAAGGGCUCGUAGGCGGCCAACUAAGUCAGACGUGAAAUCCCUCGGCUUAACCGGGGAACUGCGUCUGAUACUGGAUGGCUUGAGUUUGGGAGAGGGAUGCGGAAUUCCAGGUGUAGCGGUGAAAUGCGUAGAUAUUAGGUGGAACACCGGUGGCGAAGGCGGGCACCUGGGCCAACAUCGACACUUAGACUCGAAAGCGUGGGGAUCAAACAGG
RNAcentral lists this ribosomal RNA (253 nucleotides) under uncultured bacterium. RNAcentral describes it as "partial 16S ribosomal RNA". It matches the Rfam family "Bacterial small subunit ribosomal RNA", at positions 524 to 776 of the family's 1533-position model. The record is from RNAcentral.